AUGGGGUUCCUUACACACAUGGAAGCGUUCAAUGCAGCAUGCGAAGCAAAAAAGGCUGGGGCCAGGUGCGACGAGAGGCUCGUCAUUCAUCGUGUGACCAACGGCGGGUGCUUUGACGACUUCAAGAAGGCGAUGGACGAGUGCCGCGGCCAUUACAGUCCCGAAACGUCCAAACGCGAUAUUGAGCGAGGCAUCGGCGAGCUCGUGGUGGACGUGGAGGCGUGCGUCAAGGCCACGGCGGCCCUGCGCGAGUGCUUUGCUGGCAACCCCGCAAAGUUCAAGCACCAGUACCUUCGCCGCAUGGACGAGGGCCUCGACCAGGACACGAAGCCGUCGUGGGAGCAGAUUCGGAAAGAGAAAGAUGUAAUGUUCAGGUGGUGGACUCACAUGAGGAGACGUUAA
RNAcentral lists this ribosomal RNA (402 nucleotides) under Triticum aestivum (bread wheat). Its description in RNAcentral is "partial small subunit ribosomal RNA". The record is from RNAcentral. Lineage: Eukaryota; Viridiplantae; Streptophyta; Magnoliopsida; Poales; Poaceae.